This 433-nucleotide ribosomal RNA is filed under the name uncultured bacterium. Its description in RNAcentral is "partial 16S ribosomal RNA". It matches the Rfam family "Bacterial small subunit ribosomal RNA", at positions 29 to 507 of the family's 1533-position model. The record is from RNAcentral.
AACGAACGCUGGCGGCAGGCCUAACACAUGCAAGUCGAGCGGACCUUUCGGGGUCAGCGGCGGACGGGUGAGUAACGCGUGGGAAUAUGCCCUUCUCUACGGAAUAGUCCUGGGAAACUGGGGGUAAUACCGUAUACGCCCUUUGGGGGAAAGAUUUAUCGGGGAAGGAUUAGCCCGCGUUGGAUUAGGUAGUUGGUGGGGUAAUGGCCUACCAAGCCGACGAUCCAUAGCUGGUUUGAGAGGAUGAUCAGCCACACUGGGACUGAGACACGGCCCAGACUCCUACGGGAGGCAGCAGUGGGGAAUCUUAGACAAUGGGGGCAACCCUGAUCCAGCCAUGCCGCGUGAGUGAUGAAGGCCUUAGGGUUGUAAAGCUCUUUCAGCUGGGAAGAUAAUGACGGUACCAGCAGAAGAAGCCCCGGCUAACUCCGUG